GCCCUCUGUCAGGUGUCAUUUCCCCCAGCUCCUGCUGAGAAAGAAUUCAAUUUGCAUCAUCUAAAAAUUAAGCUGAUUCAGAGCCUGAAAUCAAGGGAAGGAAAUGUCCUGGGAAGUACUGAAGAAGCCUCAGAGCUGCACGAUCACCUGGGCUCGAUUUCUGCUGCAACUUCAUGGCCCUCAUUGACGUGGGCUUCGUGGGGUCUCAUUCUGUUGCCCAGACUGGAGUGCAGCGGCGUGAUCACAGCUCACUGCAGCCUCGACCUCUCAGGCUCAAGCCAUCCUCCUGCCUCAGCCUCCCGAGUACCUGGGAUUACAGUGAUCCUUGGGGAAACUGAGGAAGCUCAACAACAAUUUGCAAAAUGGAGGCAAGAAUAAUGGCUAUUUCCUCUGCAUAGAAGCAGAGCAGCAUGGUUUGGAAUUAAGCACAUCUGGUUGGAACUCGGAGAGUCACAUCCUGAAUGGGAAAGUUACUGGCUUCUCUCCACACCCAAGACUUCCUGGUAAAGUGAGAUCAUCGUAUUUGACUUCCAAGGUCUAAGUCAGAAGACAGCUGCUAGCCCCACAGAGGACAGCUGCUGGCACAGCGUUUGGUGUAUAAUAGGCACCUCAACAGACAUUGUUCCCCUCCCCAGUGAAUUGCCCUGCUUUCUGUCCUCUCUCCUUGCAUCUGCCUCCUUAAUGUUUUCACCCUUUAAGACCUAGCUGAAGUUUAAGAACUUUCCAGGUCCCCUCCACCAUGUUUUCACUCUUCAAGACCUAGCUGAAGUUUAAGAACUUUCCAGGCCCCCUCCACCACUUCCCACUGGAACAUCAUCCCCUGCCCUGGCAUGGAUGUGGAUGGCACUCAAUACUUCUUGUGUUCUUUGCUAAACCGUCAAGGCCUUGAAGGCUGGGACACCAUCUUUUAAUGGCUCAACAAAUAUCUGGAACAUCAAAGGUGAGCACAGAUGUGAA
This 957-nucleotide long non-coding RNA is filed under the name Homo sapiens (human). Its description in RNAcentral is "HSALNT0343310". Lineage: Eukaryota; Metazoa; Chordata; Mammalia; Primates; Hominidae. The record is from RNAcentral.